GUUUCUCUUGAUACUGGGAAACAAGGAGAGAAGAAGGAAAAAAAGUCUUCACAUCCAGAUGCUCUUAAAGACACGGGAGAAGCACCGGGAUAGUGGUGCAUUUAUUUUUAAGGAGGUCUGUCUGGGUGGAUAUGAAAAGCCAAUCAAGGAAAGACUGUCUCAAUCCUGACUUGACACAGGUCCUGGUCAGCGGUUGUCACUAUUGGCCAGAGAGUUAUGGAGCUACUGCUGACAAUGCUCAGAAACUGAUAUCCACCAAGAUGCCACAAUUCCUCUUAACUGUCUACAGUACACACCAUCAGAUCUUAGAAUGAGGAAUACACAUGUUUAAAUCUCCUGGCUACAUCUCUCUUAUUUAUUUUAACACAUUAAUAUUUCACUCAACCCCACAAUUCUAGAUAGCUUUCACACUUUUAACAGGAGUAAAAUUCAGCCUCACAAAACUAUAAACCCAGCCAACUGUAAAAAAUUUAAACAUCCUAUGCAUAUCUACAACAAAGAGGGAAAGUCAGCUCCCAAAAACGCUGGGUGGCUUACAGUUAAAAUUAUUGGUACUAUUAAAUGAAUGAAUACUUGAAAUAUUUAAUUUACUUAAAAUAACCAAGGCAUGUACUUUGGAACUACAUCUCCCCUUUCCUUGAAUGUCCCUUCUUUACAUUCUUGUCCUAUGAAUUUUAAUCCUUAAACUUCUAACAUUUGUUCUAUACUCUGAAAUCAAGAUCUGCAGGAUUGUUGUGCCAGAAACCACAAUAAAACUAUCUCACUGAAAGAGGUCGAUGUUGUGCUUCAAGCAACAGAUGGUGAGAACUGAUGUGCAAAAAUAUUUUCUUAGGAAUUCUCUCGGCAGUGUAGGACUUGGGGUCAUAAGGAGAAGAGAAUAUUGUUCCUGAAGAAAAUAUUUGAAUGAGAUCCAACAAGCAAGUAUUGUGUUUGCUUAGAUACUCGGGCAAAGAUCAAACACUUGCAUAACAAGAUGACCCAUGGCCUUCUGAAGGCAAAAGAGAACAGAGAUAGAUGGAGUUGGAAUACAAAAAUACCCUUCCUUGAUACUGGUGCUUGUUUGAACCAAACUCAUGCCAGGUAGUUGUGUCACAAUGUUGUUAUUUGCAGCACUUCCGAGCUGCUUGCUUCAUGUUACAUAUUCUGUUAUGGUGAUAUAGGACAGAUAAAUUGCCUCUUCUUGGGCAUUUUGAUCAAUAGUUUGUGGACUCUAUCUAUCUAUCUAUCUAUCUACCUACCUACCUACCUAUUUAUCAUCUAAUAUAUAUGGCUGCUCAACUCACACAGGUGACUAGCAGCAAUAAAAUAUCAUAAUGUAAGAAGCCACCCACCCACCUUUGUUAUUUCAUUUAUAUGGCCACCUAUCUCAAAUUCAUAACUCUGGGUAGCUAACAAUAUAGUAGUCCUCCUUUUUUGUGACUGACUUGUUUAGCAACCUUUCACACUUGCAACGGUGAUGAAAAAAAUACCUUUGCAACCAAUCAUUGCAUUUACAAACUUUGCAGAUCUAUAAGCAAAAAAAAAAAAAAAAA
Notechis scutatus (mainland tiger snake) is the source of this 1532-nucleotide non-coding RNA. NCBI's taxonomy places the organism in Eukaryota, Metazoa, Chordata, Lepidosauria, Squamata, Elapidae. The record is from RefSeq and is a predicted model, not a curated record.